RNAcentral lists this ribosomal RNA (450 nucleotides) under uncultured bacterium. Its description in RNAcentral is "bacterial SSU rRNA". It matches the Rfam family "Bacterial small subunit ribosomal RNA", at positions 355 to 825 of the family's 1533-position model. The record is from RNAcentral.
UCAAGAAACUUCCACAAUGGGCGAAAGCCUGGUGGAGCGACGUCGCGUGAUGGACGAAGUGCUUCGGCACGUAAACAUCUUUUAUGUGGGAUGAAAUUAUUGACAGUACCACAUGAAUAAGGGGCUCCUAACUCUGUGCCAGCAGGAGCGGUAAUACAGAGGCCCCAAGCGUUAUCCGGAAUCACUGGGCGUAAAGGGUGUCGAGGCGGUUGUAUUAGUCGUUCGUAAAAUCUACGAGCUUAACUUGUAGGCGGCGAACGAAACGGUACGACUUGAGGUUUGGAGAGGUGCGUGGAACUCACGGUGUAGGGGUGAAAUCCGUUGAUAUCGUGGGGAACACCAAAGGCGAAGGCAGCGCACUGGCCAAAAUCUGACGCUCACACACGAAAGCUAGGGUAGCGAAGAGGAUUAGAUACCCCUGUAGUCCCUGAGCGGGCUGGCAAGGCGCAU